RNAcentral lists this ribosomal RNA (305 nucleotides) under uncultured bacterium. Its description in RNAcentral is "bacterial SSU rRNA". It matches the Rfam family "Bacterial small subunit ribosomal RNA", at positions 333 to 634 of the family's 1533-position model. The record is from RNAcentral.
UUCAUCCUACGGGGCGCAGCAGUGAGGAAUAUUGGUCAAUGGGCGGAAGCCUGAACCAGCCAAGUCGCGUGAGGGAAGAAGGCCCUGCGGGUCGCAGACCUCUUUGGACGGGGAGCAAGGCCGCCGACGUGUCGGCGGAAGGAGAGUACCCGUAGAACAAGCAUCGGCUAACUCCGUGCCAGCAGCCGCGGUAAUACGUAGGUGGCAAGCGUUGUCCGGAUUUACUGGGUGUAAAGGGCGUGUAGCCGGGCUGACAAGUCAGAUGUGAAAUCCGGGGGCUCAACCCCCGAACUGCAUUUGAAACU